ACGAACGCUGGCGGCAUGCCUAACACAUUCAAGUCGCACGAGACCUUCGGGUCUAGUGGCGCACGGGUGCGUAACGCGUGGGAACCUGCCCUUAGGUUCGGAAUAACUCCCCGAAAGGGGUGCUAAUACCGGAUAAUGUCUUCGGACCAAAGAUUUAUCGCCUUUGGAUGGGCCCGCGUUGGAUUAGCUAGUUGGUAGGGUAAAAGCCUACCAAGGCGACGAUGCAUAGCUGGUCUGGGAGGAUGAUCAGCCACACUGGGGCUGAGACACGGCCCAGACUCCGACGGGAGGGAGCAGUGGGGAAUAUUGGACAAUGGGCGAAAGCCUGAUCCAGCAAUGCCGCGUGAGUGAUGAAGGCGUUAGGGUUGUAAAGCUCUUUUACCCGGGAUGAUAAUGACAGUACCGGGAGAAUAAGCACCGGCUAACUCCGUG
Molecule: ribosomal RNA, 432 nt
Filed under: uncultured bacterium
Lineage: Bacteria
Description: partial 16S ribosomal RNA
Rfam family: Bacterial small subunit ribosomal RNA
Source: RNAcentral